CGGCGCACGGGUGCGUAACGCGUAUGCAAUCUACCUUUUACAGGGGGAUAGCCCAGAGAAAUUUGGAUUAAUACCCCAUGGUAUAAUUGAAUGGCAUCAUUUAAUUAUUAAAGUCACAACGGUAAAAGAUGAGCAUGCGUCCCAUUAGCUAGUUGGUAAGGUAACGGCUUACCAAGGCUACGAUGGGUAGGGGUCCUGAGAGGGAGAUCCCCCACACUGGUACUGAGACACGGACCAGACUCCUACGGGAGGCAGCAGUGAGGAAUAUUGGACAAUGGGCGCAAGCCUGAUCCAGCCAUGCCGCGUGCAGGAUGACGGUCCUAUGGAUUGUAAACUGCUUUUGCACAAGAAGAAACACUGAUUCGUGAAUCAGCUUGACGGUACUGUAAGAAUAAGGAUCGGCUAACUCCGUGCCAGCAGCCGCGGUAAUACGGAGGAUCCAAGCGUUAUCCGGAAUCAUUGGGUUUAAAGGGUCCGUAGGCGGUUUGGUAACUCAGUGGUGAAAACCCAUCUC
This 514-nucleotide ribosomal RNA is filed under the name uncultured bacterium. Its description in RNAcentral is "bacterial SSU rRNA". It matches the Rfam family "Bacterial small subunit ribosomal RNA", at positions 96 to 608 of the family's 1533-position model. The record is from RNAcentral.